AGAGUUUGAUUCUGGCUCAGGAUGAACGCUAGCUACAGGCUUAACACAUGCAAGUCGAGGGGCAGCAUGGGAGUUGCUUGCAAUUCCUGAUGGCGACCGGCGCACGGGUGAGUAACGCGUAUCCAACCUUCCCCUUAGUAGGGCAUAGCCCGGUGAAAAUCGGAUUAAUACCCUAUGUUCUUCACAGCAGGCAUCUAACGUGAAGCAAAGGUUCACCGCUAAGGGAUGGGGAUGCGUCUGAUUAGGUAGUAGGCGGGGUAACGGCCCACCUAGCCUUCGAUCAGUAGGGGUUCUGAGAGGAAGGUCCCCCACAUUGGAACUGAGACACGGUCCAAACUCCUACGGGAGGCAGCAGUGAGGAAUAUUGGUCAAUGGGCGAGAGCCUGAACCAGCCAAGUAGCCGUGCAGGAUGACGGCCCUAUGGGUUGUAAACUGCUUUUAUAUGGGGAUAAAGUUCACCACGUGUGGUGUUUUGUAGGUACCAUAUGAAUAAGGACCGGCUAAUUCCGUGCCAGCCGCCGC
This 522-nucleotide ribosomal RNA is filed under the name uncultured bacterium. RNAcentral's name for it is "bacterial SSU rRNA". It matches the Rfam family "Bacterial small subunit ribosomal RNA", at positions 8 to 518 of the family's 1533-position model. The record is from RNAcentral.